AGUAAUGAUCAUAUGGGACUCUGCCCCACCUUGACCCUUAAGGAUCACCGUUAGAUAUACUUUUCAAUCUUGGGAUCAAAAAAAGUUUCACCAGCUAACUCUUUCCUACAACUGGCCACAACGGGUCAUUUUUUUUUCAAAAACGCCCCCUUUAUUGCUGCUCCGCCCUUUUUCUCUCCCUCUUCCUAGCCCACUGGUUUCUUCUCAUCUCUUUGCGAAAAACACUAAGUCUGCCAAAAUAAAAAAGAGACGUUACUGCUAAGAACACAUCUUUCUCUCUAGUAAGGUCAUAAGGUCUCAGAGAAAGGUUAAGAACAAAAAUCAAGUAUUUUAUAUCUUUGUAUUUCUCAAUCUCUCUAUCUAUGAAUUUC
Molecule: long non-coding RNA, 371 nt
Filed under: Amborella trichopoda
Lineage: Eukaryota; Viridiplantae; Streptophyta; Magnoliopsida; Amborellales; Amborellaceae
Description: long non-coding RNA (ATRI_LNC004428)
Source: RNAcentral